AGGGCAAAGGUCACACAAGGCCACUGACGCUCUCCCUCUGGGCGGAUGGUUAACACCGGGAGUGUCCUCACCUCUGCUCCUGCUGUGAGUUCCAGAACCAGAAACAGGGCCCAUCUGGGGGCAGAGGCCCUACUCCCCCAGAUAAGGAAGCUGGGUCUCCAGAGUGUCACUUGUCCGUGGCCACACAGUGAAUGAGAGUUGCACACAGGCAUCUUGUGCCUGGCAGCCCUUGGCACAGAGAAGACGCAAAGCAAACUUCGUUCAUAAGAAGGGGACGAGCGCAGCCUGAGCGUCCCCUGCUCUUGAACAAAUUGCCAGGCUCAGUGCAGCCGCCGUCACCACCACUGUUCCCAGGAAGAGACCUCUGGCCACAAGCAGCUCCAGUUCAGCUCCUUGGACCUAAUUAUUCAGUCCAGCAAAGAGGUAGCUGGAAAAGUCUCCAAGACAUCUAACGAUUCCGUGGCUCCAGUUGAGAACUGAGUUAUCUUUAUGUGAUUUUAAAAUAAAACAUACUCAGAAGGAGAGAACACAAUUGAAAUCCAGCUGUCUGGAGUCAUUCCAGAUGAAAGUUUUUGAGUUUGGGGAUGCAAAGGAGGCAGGAAAGCCAGGAGUCAGAUGAUCAGAAUUCGAAUGCAGACCUCACCAGGCCCUUGCUGUGGGCCCUGGGAGAUGACUUCCAUGUCCUGAAUCUCAGCUUCCUUAGGGACAGAGGUGGUGCUUACUCAUAGGUUAUU
Molecule: long non-coding RNA, 734 nt
Organism: Cercocebus atys (sooty mangabey)
Lineage: Eukaryota; Metazoa; Chordata; Mammalia; Primates; Cercopithecidae
Exons: 3
Source: RefSeq, a predicted model, not a curated record